AGUAUAAGCAAUUAUACCGCGAAACUGCGAAUGGCUCAUUAAAUCAGUUAUCGUUUAUUUGAUAGUUCCAUACUACUUGGAUAACCGUGGUAAUUCUAGAGCUAAUACAUGCAAAAAACCGCGACUUCGGAAGCGGUGUAUUUAUUAGAUUAAAGACCAAUGCCCUUCGGGGCUGACAGGUGAUUCAUGAUAACUUCUCGAAUCGCAUGGCCUUGCGCCGGCGAUGGUUCAUUCAAAUUUCUGCCCUAUCAACUUUCGACUUUAGUGUAGUGGACUAAAGUGGUUGCAACGGGUAACGGAGGGUUAGGGCUCGACCCCGGAGAAGGAGCCUGAGAAACGGCUACUACAUCCAAGGAAGGCAGCAGGCGCGCAAAUUACCCAAUCCCGACACGGGGAGGUAGUGACAAUAAAUACUGAUACAGGGCUCUUUUGGGUCUUGUAAUUGGAAUGAGUACAAUUUAAAUCCCUUAACGAGGAACAAUUGGAGGGCAAGUCUGGUGCCAGCAGCCGCGGUAAUUCCAGCUCCAAUAGCGUAUAUUAAAGUUGUUGUGGUUAAAAAGCUCGUAGUUGAACCUGGGCCUCGCGCAGACCGGUCCGCCUCACCGCGUGCACUGGUCCUGCCGGGGCUUUCACUAGGGGAUUCGCAUGUCCUUCACUGGUCGUGCGCGGAACCUGGACUUUUACUGUGAAAAAAUUAGAGUGUUCAAAGCAGGCCUAUGCUCGAAUACAUUAGCAUGGAAUAAUAGAAUAGGACGUGUGGUUCUAUUUUGUUGGUUAUGGGACCGCCGUAAUGAUUAAUAGGGACAGUCGGGGGCAUCAGUAUUCAAUUGUCAGAGGUGAAAUUCUUGGAUUUAUUGAAGACUAACUACUGCGAAAGCAUUUGCCAAGGAUGUUUUCAUUAAUCAGGAACGAAAGUUAGGGGAUCGAAGACGAUCAGAUACCGUCGUAGUCUUAACCAUAAACUAUGCCGACUAGGGAUCGGGCGAUGUUACUUUUUGACUCGCUCGGCACCUUACGAGAAAUCAAAGUCUGUGGGUUCCUGGGGAAGUAUGGUGGCAACGCUGAAACUUAAAGAAAUUGACGGAAGGG
This 1089-nucleotide ribosomal RNA is filed under the name Zalerion maritima. RNAcentral describes it as "SSU rRNA". It matches the Rfam family "Eukaryotic small subunit ribosomal RNA", at positions 62 to 1164 of the family's 1831-position model. The record is from RNAcentral. Lineage: Eukaryota; Fungi; Ascomycota; Sordariomycetes; Lulworthiales; Lulworthiaceae.